UACGAAGGGGGCUAGCGUUGCUCGGAAUUACUGGGCGUAAAGGGCGCGUAGGCGGAUAUCUAAGUUGGGGGUGAAAUCCCGGGGCUCAACCUCGGAAUUGCCUUCAAAACUGGAUAUCUUGAGUUCGAGAGAGGUGGGUGGAAUUCCUAGUGUAGAGGUGAAAUUCGUAGAUAUUAGGAAGAACACCGGUGGCGAAGGCGGCCCACUGGCUCGACACUGACGCUGAGGUGCGAAAGCGUGGGGAGCAAACAGG
This 253-nucleotide ribosomal RNA is filed under the name uncultured bacterium. RNAcentral describes it as "partial 16S ribosomal RNA". It matches the Rfam family "Bacterial small subunit ribosomal RNA", at positions 524 to 776 of the family's 1533-position model. The record is from RNAcentral.